Molecule: ribosomal RNA, 391 nt
Filed under: uncultured bacterium
Lineage: Bacteria
Description: partial 16S ribosomal RNA
Rfam family: Bacterial small subunit ribosomal RNA
Source: RNAcentral
AUACGUAGGUGACAAGCGUUAUCCGGAUUUACUGGGCGUAAAGGGCGUGUAGGCGGUCUUGCAAGUCAGAAGUGAAAUUCCUGAGCUCAACUCGGGCGCUGCUUCUGAAACUGCAGGACUUGAGUGCUGGAGGGGAUAGCGGAAUUCCUAGUGGAGCGGUAAAAUGCGCAGAUAUUAGGAAGAACACCGGUGGCGAAGGCGGCUAUCUGGACAGUAACUGACGCUGAGGCGCGAAAGCGGGGGGAGCAAACAGGAUUAGAUACUCUGGUAGUCCACGCCGUAAACGAUGAGCACUAAGUGUCGGAUGAAUUUUCGGCGCUGCAGUUAACACAAUAAGUGCUCCGCCUGGGGAGUACGGUCGCAAGACUGAAACUUAAAGGAAUUGACGGGG